RNAcentral lists this unclassified non-coding RNA (395 nucleotides) under fungal sp. RNAcentral describes it as "partial internal transcribed spacer region". The stretch from base 1 to 44 matches the Rfam family "Eukaryotic small subunit ribosomal RNA", at positions 1788 to 1831 of the family's 1831-position model. Lineage: Eukaryota; Fungi. The record is from RNAcentral.
GUCGUAACAAGGUUUCCGUAGGUGAACCUGCGGAAGGAUCAUUACCACACCGAUCCAAACGAUCACUCUCUCCUGUGAACUUGUGUUGGUUACCAACUCUUUUUCUUAUGUUUUUUUCUUCUUUUCGCUUUCUCCUUUUUCUUCUCGAGGGGUUCUCUUCUGUUCACUCUGUCUUCUGGUUUCUGGAAGUCUUAGAGUGUUGGAAAGGGGUUCUGAGGGAAGAGUGGGGGGAAGACGGAGGAGGAAAAAAACAAAAAAGAUUACACUCCAAAACAAUCGAAACCCAAUGUUAUUCUGAAACUGAAGGGAUACGAAAGGGCCUUUGCGCUCUUUUUUGUUCCGCAUCAAUCUUUGAAUGAUGAAAACAACUUUCAGCGAUGGAUAUCUUGGCUCUC